AUACAUUUCACAAAUAAACUUGGAAUUAGCAACGUGUGUAUUUGGUUAAAUGGAACUCACCUCCAAAUAAUGGAAUAUGCCGAUCUCAAGUUCAAGUCGUGCCUCUCAACUUAUUUAAAUAAAUAAAAAAAGGGUUGAAAUUCAUGAUUCAUAAUUGUUUUAUAAUGACUAUAAGAAAAUAGAAGAAUAUAGAGGCUUUAAGACCAGGGGUGUGCAGCUAGAAAGUUGAUGUAACUGUGAAAAUUCCCUGCCCCACAUGAUCUUUCACCGAAGGCUACAAGACAGAAACCAGACUAGAGAUUAGAGUGCAAGACCAAACAUUCAGAACAGAAGCCCUGGAAGCUAUGGUCAUGAUCACAAGUAUAUGCAUCGUAUCUUAUCCGGAUAAUUCAAGCCACACAUCUUCUAUCUCUUGGAGCUUAUAUGGUUUGCUUGCUAUUUCACGUAAUCACAGUAUUUAAUUUGUCCAAUCCAUAGACUACAAUAGAUACACCCAGUACUCUAAAGUCUACCCUGUAGGUAUCUACUCCUUACAUCCCUGUAAGCUUAUAGCUGGGAAACUAGAUCACUGAAGAUCCUUGUGUUUGCCAGAAGCAGAUUCAGGCAUCAGUAGUAUUAUGUUUUUGGCCAAUUGCUCUCUUUCAAAGAUUCUCAAGAAAAGUGGUUUGCACUUCGCCUGCUUAAUUAUGCAAUCUCUUCAUUUGCGACCCGUAAGCAAGAGCUCCAGCGUUAGCAAUCACAUGUUCUCUAAAGGCUAGCUCGAUCUGUGUGACUGUGGAGACGUCUUACACUCACAAAACCUUUAUCACCACCUUAUUAACACCUUUCCAAAUGCGAGGUUCAAAUUUGGAAAUCAAAACGUGCUCCACGGGACUUGAAAAGAAAAGAAAAGAAAAUAUUCCGUGGGAUUUUCUUUCAUGCAGGUCGAUUAGGAGUUCAAACAUAAUAUAUAGAGAUUCCCUUGACAGUGUCUAUAAGAAAUAAUAGCUGCCAUAGAAACUCGUGGCAAGUAUAUAUAUAUAUAUAUAUAUAUAUAUAUAUAUAUAUAUAUAUAUAUAUAUAUAUAUAUAAUAAACCUGCUGGACAUCCGGUACGUUCAAUGCCAUUUGCUGACCUUUUCAAUGCCUUGUAAGAGAUAUGGAAGAAUUUAUCCCUCGUAAAUAAUAGCUUAUAGCGCAUGGUCUUUAGAAAAUAUAAAACAUAAUAUUACAUGGCUAUCAACUAAAACGAACAGCCUAAUACGACAAAGCAUGGGGAAGUAGCUAGAAAUCUAAUUUCCGUACUCUUUGGUUCAGAAAGAAAUUUCUGGUUCUUUGCUGUGAAACAAGACAGGACAGCUCCACUUGCAAAAUGUCGAGAGGCAACUUGCUUGGUAGGCAAAUGAGGUCCUCAGUAUCUGGCCAAGAUAUUAUUAUCUCAAGCUGAUCAUAUACCUCACAUAACGAUGGGCUCUCUCUCUCUCUCUCUCUCUCUCUCUCUCUCUCUCUCUCUUAUUUUUAACUUUCUACUUUCCAGUAAGAAAUUCAUUUAAUUUUGGUGCAAGUGGAAGCAUCGAGUUAUAAAUUGUGUACUGUGGUAGAAAAAGAAAAAGAAAAAAGAAAACAUGAACUGAUUAGGCAUAUAAGAACUAUCAGGAACAAGAUCUUUUUAGAUUUUAAAAUGGUCCAGUUAAAUGAACAUUGACAGAAAAACCAACUUGAAUGGUUUACAUACCAACCCAUCAAUAACUCACCAAACAGCUGGAUG
RNAcentral lists this long non-coding RNA (1746 nucleotides) under Populus trichocarpa (black cottonwood). RNAcentral describes it as "long non-coding RNA (PTRI_LNC001485)". The record is from RNAcentral. Lineage: Eukaryota; Viridiplantae; Streptophyta; Magnoliopsida; Malpighiales; Salicaceae.